GCCCAGUUGGCGCAGCGGUAGCGCGUUCCCUUGACAUGGGAAAGGUCAUAGGUUCGAUCCCUAUACUGGGCACCA
This 75-nucleotide transfer RNA is filed under the name Elusimicrobia bacterium GWA2_56_46. Its description in RNAcentral is "tRNA-Val". It matches the Rfam family "tRNA". Rfam says of the family: Transfer RNA (tRNA) molecules are approximately 80 nucleotides in length. Their secondary structure includes four short double-helical elements and three loops (D, anti-codon, and T loops). The record is from RNAcentral. Lineage: Bacteria; Pseudomonadati; Elusimicrobiota. RNAcentral also lists the same sequence under 7 other names.